Cannabis sativa is the source of this 377-nucleotide long non-coding RNA. RefSeq lists it as uncharacterized. The record is from RefSeq and is a predicted model, not a curated record. Lineage: Eukaryota; Viridiplantae; Streptophyta; Magnoliopsida; Rosales; Cannabaceae. The transcript is spliced from 2 exons.
GUGAAAUCUAGGUUUGUCAUAGAACAAUUAUUAUUUCUCAAAGAUUUCUCUCAUUGCAAUCAAGGUUAAGGCUCCACAUCCGAGACCAAGGUAACUAAAAGUUUAGAAAGCCGGUGGCGAGUGGAACUUUGGAUGCUUGUGUGUGUGAACUCGCUGAGGGCCAUAUAACUGCGGGCGGUCUAGGGCGCUCUAUUUAUUUAUUCAUGUUAUUAAACUUAUGUCGCAAUUAUUUUAGUUAUUAAUUAUUAUGUCUUUUGUACGAAAACUGGCCAGUUGUGAACAUUUUCAAGUAUUAAAUAAAAAUGCGACAUUAUGAUUUUCCGCGUUUAACGCUUGUAAACAAAAUUAAUAUUUUUAUAAAAGUACGGGCGUUACAU